CUCUUAGCUCCGUACCAGUCUUUACAGUGGCCUGUUGGAUAUUCAGUGGCACCUCAAAACUUAGUAUACCCCUAAUCAAACUAUUUUCCCCCAACAAAUCUGGGCCUAUUGGCUUGUUCCCUAUUUUAGCGACUGGCAUCACCGUCUCUUCAGUUGCACUCAGAAACCUAGGACUAACCCUUCACGCCUCACCUCCCUCCUAUAUUUCGUUCAUCAUCAGCUCCUGUCAAUUCUGCCUCUUAAAUAUCUCUUAAAUCCGCUUUUCUCUCUCUCAUCACCAUUCCAAGCUUUCAUAAUAGCUCAUUCAAAUCAAUUCAAUACCUUCCUAAACUCAUUUACUAGUUCUCUCUCCAAUCUUUUCUUACAUUGCACCCAAAAUCAUCCUUUCACACAUAAAUUUGAUCAGGUCAUUCUUGCCCUCAUCUCCCUAGCCUCUUCCUCACCUCUCUUUCGUACCCCCCUCAACAAACAAACACACAAACAAAAAACAAGAAAGAAAAGAAAGCUUCAGUGGCUUCUUAUUGCUCUAAGGAUAUAGAAAAAACUGAACACGGCCUCUUUUACUAGCUUCAAAUCACACCGUGCUUCCUCUUCCUUUCUCUGCUCCUGCUGGCCUUCUCUGACAAUUUCCUUCUUUCCAUGCUCCUUCCUGCUACAUGCUGCUCUCUCCUUGGAAGGCACUUUCUUACAGUCUUAAUCCAGUUAAUUGCUUUACAGCCUUCAGAUUUUAGCUCAUUUUUCUCAUUUCCCUGAUAAAGUCAAGCCUCUUUAUUCUGGAUCCGAAGUUACCUUGCGCCUAUCCUUCACAGAUUUGAUCACUGUUGCAAUUUCAUACUUAUUUUGAGUGUUUUUGACUGACACCUUCACGAGACUGCAACGUCUGUGAGCACAGACAUCAUGACUGUUUUGCUCACCACUGUAUUCCAGGUGCCUAGCAUAGCACCUGACAGUUAACGAAUGCUUAUGAAAUAUUAUUUAGUGGAUAAAUCCCAUAUCUCUGCUUCUCAAGACAUCUGAGUUGUUCUUUGCUCUUCCCAAAUACCAGCUAGAGAGGAAUAGGCUAAAAUGCAAUCAGGAAGUGGAGAGGACAGAGAAAGCUUAGAAGUCUUACUUUCUCUAGUAAGAUUAGUUAGGAGUUAGAAAGUUUACCUCCAAACCCAAAGCUACUUUCUAUGGAGAAGUAGUAAAGGGUAAAUGCACUCUCAGUCAUCUGAUAUAUCCUAAAACACUUGACAUGUCUGGAAUCAUACUUUCAGGGCAGACUUCCGGCCAACUCUGGCGAUGUUCUACUGUGCGACAGCUGUAAUGCUAUAAAGGAUCAAAAGUCCUGUACAAGUCCAGACAUCUGCUCUUUACACAGUCUCUUCCUAUAUUAUAGAAAAGUAUAGAACAGAAUGACACACGAUUCUUUGUUGGUACAGAUGAAUCAGAUGCUUUCUGCUGCCUAGUCAACGUGGUCACCAUGAGGGAGUCAAGCAAGACUUCCAAACCCCUUGAAUAUGGCUCUUGGAAAUACUGCUAGUUCCCUAGUCAAACUACGAAGAAAAGAUCUAAUGUUUUAGCUACUUGAACAAGGCAACUGAGAAAGCACAGAAUGGAAAAGCAACUGCCUUUGACAGAAAGAUGUGGCAGGUUAAACUUUCUUGAUUUUAACACUCCGAGUUGGUUAAAUGCAAAAUCUUUAUUCAAUAAAUAUGAACAGUGUGAAAUUUAUUUCAAAUUUCCAUUAUGAAUCAUUAAGGCAUCAAGAAAGAAAGGAAUAAAGGUGAAGAGAAAAGAGCAACCAUUCCCAUUUGCUCUGUCUCAACCAACUGCUCAAUUCCUUCAUCUCAUUUACUAUAAUGUGUCGUUAUCUUGUUUACCUGAUUUUUGUUGUGGGACUAUCAUUCCCACAAGACUAUAAACAUAGUGGGAAAGCCCUUCUUUCUGUUCCCUGUCAUACCCAGUGAACAGUCCAAUACCUGCCCAUUGCAUUGUGUCUGUAGCAACAGAAUCACCAGCAGUGCUGGUUAAAAAUGCAUAUUCCUGGGAUCCACUUCAUUAUCUACUGACUAUUUUAGGUGGAGCUGUGGAAUCUGCAAUUUUAACCUUUCUAGAUGAUUCCAAAUCACACCAAAGUAUGAGGACUAUGGAAAAUCUUCACAUCUCUGGAAGAGCCGCAAACCUACAAAAGUAACUGGAAUCACCAAAGCACUGCAAGAGUUGCCUGAAAUGUUAAAGGUAUAAGUACUGGAGUAAAAGUUUGAAGGUCUCCACUUUUGCUAGGACUUUUGGAAGGGCCGAGGAUAUAAGCUGCCUGAAGUCAACACGUUCUCCUGUCUUUUAAAAAACAAUUCAUGAAGAGAUAAAAUCAGAUGUCCUUCUGAAAAUAAGGUCCUAAGAGGAAACAGAUGGUCCUGGACUGCAAAAGAGGGAAGAGGGGACGAUUCCCCAGAGAGAGGAAGGAGGUAGAAGAUGAGGGGGAGGGAGUUCUUAGAAGAGCAGGGGUCUUUGCCCCAUUCUAUCAGUGUUCCAGGAGGUGGCCGGAUAUCAAGAGUUGGCUAGGUGGAAGCCUACAACAGUGGCUCCCAGCUUUGCCAAGAUUCUUGUACCUCAUACGUAAACUUCAAAGCAGCAGGGGCACCACUCUUGAAGGGAUUCUGCGAACUUCAGCAAGAGACAUUUCAGGGGGAAGCAUUACCAAUGUCUAAAGCCCAGAGAAGACUCCUCUUGCAUUGGCAAUGCCUCUGCUCCCUGGAUCAUUUUACUGCUUGGAGAAAAGGGAGCCUCCAACAUAAUGAAGACUGAAAUUUCCCGACAGCUGGAUGGGAAAGGAACUUAGGUUGGAUAGAAAUUAAUUUAAAGAUUAGAAAAAAAAUUAAACAAUUUUCUUGCACAUCAGGGUUUUCAGAUACGAAUCAAAUCCUCAAAGGUCGACUUAU
This is a non-coding RNA of Kogia breviceps (pygmy sperm whale), 2921 nucleotides long. The record is from RefSeq and is a predicted model, not a curated record. Lineage: Eukaryota; Metazoa; Chordata; Mammalia; Artiodactyla; Physeteridae.